AGCGAACGCUGGCGGCAGGCCCUAAAACAUGCAAGUCGAACGCCGUAGCAAUACGGAGUGACAGACGGGUGAGUAACACGUGGGAACGUACCCUUUGGUUCGGAACAACACAGGGAAACUUGUGCUAAUACCGGAUAAGCCCUUACGGGGAAAGAUUUAUCGCCAGAGGAUCGGCCCGCGUCUGAUUAGCUUGUUGGUGAGGUAACGGCUCACCAAGGCUACGAUCAGUAGCUGGUCUGAGAGGAUGAUCAGCCACACUGGGACUGAGACACGGCCCAGACUCCUACGGGAGGCAGCAGUUAGGAAUCUUGGACAAUGGGCGCAAGCCUGAUCCAGCCAUGCCGCGUGAGUGAUGAAGGCCUUAGGGUUGUAAAGCUCUUUCAGCGGGGAAGAUAAUGACGGUACCCGCAGAAGAAGCCCCGGCUAACUUCGUG
RNAcentral lists this ribosomal RNA (434 nucleotides) under uncultured bacterium. RNAcentral's name for it is "bacterial SSU rRNA". It matches the Rfam family "Bacterial small subunit ribosomal RNA", at positions 29 to 507 of the family's 1533-position model. The record is from RNAcentral.